This 504-nucleotide ribosomal RNA is filed under the name Prionoglaris stygia. RNAcentral describes it as "SSU rRNA". It matches the Rfam family "Eukaryotic small subunit ribosomal RNA", at positions 55 to 540 of the family's 1831-position model. The record is from RNAcentral. Lineage: Eukaryota; Metazoa; Arthropoda; Insecta; Psocodea; Prionoglarididae.
AUGUCUCAGUGCAAGCCAAAUUAAGGUGAAACCGCGAAAGGCUCAUUAAAUCAGUUAUGGUUCCUUAGAUUGUACAUCAGUUACUUGGAUAACUGUGGUAAUUCUAGAGCUAAUACAUGCAAACUGAGUCCCGACUCUUAAUAAGGGAAGGGAUGCUUUUAUUAGAUCAAAACCAAUGAGGCCUUAGGGUCUGAAUACCUUGGUGACUCUGAAUAACUCUUUUGUGCUGAUCGCAUGGUCAAGUACCGGCGACGCAUCUUUCAAAUGUCUGCCUUAUCAACUUACGAUGGUAGGUUCGGCGCCUACCAUGGUUGUAACGGGUAACGGGGAAUUAGGGUUCGAUUCCGGAGAGGGAGCCUGAGAGACAGCUACCACAUCCAAGGAAGGCAGCAGGCGCGCAAAUUACCCACUCCCAGCACGGGGAGGUAGUGACGAAAAAUAACGAUGCAGAACUCUUUCCGAGGCUCUGCAAUCGGAAUGAGUACACUCUAAAUCAUUUAACAA